CAUCCGGUGGCGAAGGCGGCUUACUGGACGAUAACUGACGCUGAGGCUCGAAAGCGUGGGGAGCAAACAGGAUUAGAUACCCUGGUAGUCCACGCUGUAAACGAUGAAUACUAGGUGUUGGGGGGCGAAGCUCUUCGGUGCCGCAGCAAACGCAAUAAGUAUUCCGCCUGGGGAGUACGUUCGCAAGAAU
This 190-nucleotide ribosomal RNA is filed under the name uncultured bacterium. RNAcentral describes it as "partial 16S ribosomal RNA". It matches the Rfam family "Bacterial small subunit ribosomal RNA", at positions 706 to 895 of the family's 1533-position model. The record is from RNAcentral.